UAGGAUUCCCCCAGUAGCUGCGAGCGAACAGGGAUUAGCCCAGCACUGAAUCCCGCGGCCGAUACCGGACGCCGGGAAAUGUGGUGUUAGGGAGGAUCCAUUUAUCCUGAGAUUGUGCGACGCGUCCAAGUCCUUCUUGAACGGGGCUAUAGCCCAUAGAGGGUGCCAGGCCCGUAGUGACCGUUGCCAAUAGCGGGAGGAUCUCUCCUCAGAGUCGGGUUGCUUGAGAGUGCAGCCCUAAGUGGGUGGUAAACUCCAUCUAAGGCUAAAUAUGACCACGAGACCGAUAGCGAACAAGUACCGUGAGGGAAAGUUGAAAAGCACUUUGAAGAGAGAGUUCAAUAGUACGUGAAACCGUUCAGAGGUAAACCUGAGAAACCCGAAAGGUCGAAAGGGGAAAUUCAUUCGCGUCUCGAUGCCAGCAAAGUUUAGUUGUAUGACAAAGUGAUGGUACGCCAUUGAUUUGCAUCUACAAUUCUUUGGUAUCUGGUGUCGAAUGCGUGCACUUUUCCCCUAGUAGGACGUCGCGAUCCGUUGGGUGUCGGUCUAAGGCCCGUGGUGGUAGCCCGUUUGGGGAUGCGGUUACCAUGCCGUUGUUCUCCAAUCGGACCCAUGGUGUUUCCCGACCGACUAUCUCGACGGUAUACAGAUGGCGCAGGGCCGCGAUUCAUUUCGCGUCCGGCCCGUGGCAAGCACGUUUGGAUAUGUUUGUUGGUGUAACGGACCUAGUGUGCCGUUCCCGACCACAAGCGACUGUUGGCUGCGGUGUUCUCGGACAGUGCUCUGAUCAUUUAAACGCUGAUCUGCGGCGCUUUAGCUUUGGGUACUUUCAGGACCCGUCUUGAAACACGGACCAAGGAGUCUAGCAUGUGCGCAAGUCAUUGGGGCAUGACUAAACCUAAAGGCGCAAUGAAAGUGAAGGUUCGUGCUUGCACGAACCAAGGGAGGAUGGGUGGUUUGCCCUUAAAGUGGCCACUCCGCACUCCCGGGGCGUCUCAUUCUCGUAUGCGCAUUUAUGUGUGUAUGAGAGGAGGCGCACCAAGAGCGUACACGCUGGGACCCGAAAGAUGGUGAACUAUGCCUGGUCAGGACGAAGUCAGGGGAAACCCUGAUGGAGGUCCGUAGCGAUUCUGACGUGCAAAUCGAUCGUCGGAACUGGGUAUAGGGGCGUAAGACUAAUCGAACCAUCUAGUAGCUGGUUCCCUCCGAAGUUUCCCUCAGGAUAGCUGGCGCUCAGUGCGUACGAGUUUCAUCCGGUAAAGCGAAUGAUUAGAGGCAUUGGGGUCGAAACGACCUCAACCUAUUCUCAAACUUUAAAUGGGUGAGAUCUCCGGCUUGCUUGAACGACAACCAUCAACUUGUUGAUGAUUGAAGCCGUGAGUGAUACAAAUAUAAUUGAACGAAUCAGAG
Molecule: ribosomal RNA, 1410 nt
Filed under: Cavognatha sp. DDM0812
Lineage: Eukaryota; Metazoa; Arthropoda; Insecta; Coleoptera; Cavognathidae
Description: eukaryotic LSU rRNA
Rfam family: Eukaryotic large subunit ribosomal RNA
Source: RNAcentral